AAAUCCCUGCACCGGUUCUGGUGUCGUAUUUGGAAGAACCAACACUAUUAUAUUGGGAGUUUGACUCUAUACGCCUAUUGCAAACCUUCCUCGUUAGAAGGCAGCAUGAAUCGUUUAGGCAGGCACCCACUGUGUAAAAUUGGAAGGUUCUUCUCAAAUCCGCUGGAACUCUGCAGGGUUUUU
RNAcentral lists this non-coding RNA (183 nucleotides) under Calditrichota bacterium. RNAcentral's name for it is "Calditrichaeota bacterium (activated sludge metagenome) 6S RNA". It matches the Rfam family "6S / SsrS RNA". Rfam says of the family: E. coli 6S RNA was the first non coding RNA to be sequenced, but its function was unknown until recently. The record is from RNAcentral. Lineage: Bacteria; Pseudomonadati; Calditrichota. RNAcentral also lists the same sequence under 1 other name.